This 975-nucleotide ribosomal RNA is filed under the name Clostridioides difficile. Its description in RNAcentral is "partial 23S ribosomal RNA". It matches the Rfam family "Bacterial large subunit ribosomal RNA", at positions 683 to 1664 of the family's 2925-position model. Lineage: Bacteria; Bacillati; Bacillota; Clostridia; Peptostreptococcales; Peptostreptococcaceae. The record is from RNAcentral.
UUUAACUGAGCGUUCAGUUACUUGACGUAGACCCGAAACCGGGCGACCUACCCAUGAGCAGGAUGAAGCGAAAGUAAAAUUUCGUGGAGGUCCGAACCCACGAGCGUUGAAAAGCUCGGGGAUGACUUGUGGGUAGCGGUGAAAUUCCAAUCGAGCCCGGAGAUAGCUGGUUCUCCCCGAAAUAGCUUUAGGGCUAGCCUCAAGGUGAGAGAUACGGAGGUAGAGCACUGAAUGUCCUAGGGGGUAUUGCACCUACCGAAGACUAUCAAACUCCGAAUGCCGUCAUCUUAUACUUGGGAGUCAGACUGUGGGUGAUAAGAUUCAUAGUCGAAAGGGCAACAGCCCAGAUCGUCAGCUAAGGUCCCUAAAUGUAAGUUAAGUGGUAAAGGAUGUGGGAUUGCACAGACAACCAGGAUGUUGGCUUAGAAGCAGCCACUCAUUCAAAGAGUGCGUAAUAGCUCACUGGUCGAGUGAUCCUGCGCCGAAGAUUUCCGGGGCUAAAACUUACUACCGAAGCUACGGCAUCAGUAAUGAUGGGUAGGGGAGCUUCCCAUACGGGUUGAAGCAUGACCGUAAGGACAUGUGGACAGUAUGGGAGUGAGAAUGUUGGCAUGAGUAGCGAGAUGUGGGUGAGAAUCCCACAGGCCGUAAACCCAAGGUUUCCAGGGGAAGGUUCGUCCGCCCUGGGUUAGUCGGGACCUAAGCUGAGGCCGAAAGGCGUAGGUGAUGGACAACAGGUUGAUAUUCCUGUACUACCGAUAACCGUUUGAGAGAAGGGAUGACACAGUAGGAUAAGCUAAGCACACUGUUGGUUAUGUGUGCCCAAGCAUUGAGGCAGUCAAAGUAGGCAAAUCCGCUUUGAUAAUGCUAGGAUGUGAUGGGGAGCGAAAUUUAGUAGCGAAGUAGCUGAUUUCACACUGUCAAGAAAAGUCUCUAUCGAGGUUAAAGGUACCCGUACCGCAAACCGACACAGGU